UCUCCGUAGGUGAACCUGCGGAGGGAUCAUUACCGAGUACCGGGCGCAAGCCCGUACCCACACCCUGUGUCGACGCUCCACGUUGCUUCGGCGGGACGCGGUUCCGCCGCCCCCGGCUCCGACCGGGGCGCGCCCGCCGAAGAACCCCCCAAACGCAUGGCAAACCAGUCUGUCCGAGGAUACAUGAAUUAGUCAAAACUUUUAACAACGGAUCUCUUGGUUCGG
Molecule: unclassified non-coding RNA, 225 nt
Filed under: soil metagenome
Description: partial contains small subunit ribosomal RNA, internal transcribed spacer 1, and 5.8S ribosomal RNA
Source: RNAcentral